GCGAACCUAUACACAAUAUUUAAAAAGAAAUUUUGAUUAUUUAAAGACAAUAUAAAUUACAGUGAACAGUAUUUGAACAUCAACGUGAAGAUCUUUCCAUCAUUAUAACUAACACAGAAUGAUUUCAAUAAUUCAUGGAUCAGGAUCACUACCAGGUAGCGGUGUUGGUGCAACAACCAUAUUUGGUGAUGAACUUUCUGAUGAAGGCGAACUACACACCAUCAUUCUUGGCUUAGGUGAACUUCUGCAAAUUUAUUAAUGCUCAUUUUACAUCUGUAUUACUUCCAUUAAUAAGACAAACCUUAUAAAAGUUA
Long non-coding RNA from Bombus pascuorum, 314 nucleotides. RefSeq lists it as uncharacterized. The record is from RefSeq and is a predicted model, not a curated record. Lineage: Eukaryota; Metazoa; Arthropoda; Insecta; Hymenoptera; Apidae. The transcript is spliced from 2 exons.